UACGUAGGGGGCAAGCGUUAUCCGGAUUUACUGGGUGUAAAGGGUGCGUAGGUGGCAGGGCAAGUCUGAAGUGAAAUGCCGGGGCCCAACCCCGGAACUGCUUUGGAAACUGUGCAGCUGGAGUGCAGGAGAGGCAGGCGGAAUUCCUGGUGUAGCGGUGAAAUGCGUAGAUAUCAGGAGGAACACCGGUGGCGAAGGCGGCCUGCUGGACGGUGACUGACGCUGAGGCUCGAAAGCGUGGGUAUCGA
RNAcentral lists this ribosomal RNA (248 nucleotides) under uncultured Lachnospiraceae bacterium. RNAcentral's name for it is "partial 16S ribosomal RNA". It matches the Rfam family "Bacterial small subunit ribosomal RNA", at positions 524 to 771 of the family's 1533-position model. The record is from RNAcentral. Lineage: Bacteria; Bacillati; Bacillota; Clostridia; Lachnospirales; Lachnospiraceae.